UUUUUUUUUUUUUUUGCUUUGGCUUAAAUUAUUUAACUUGUCUGUGCUCCAGCUUUUCCAUCUGUGAAGUAUGUCUGAUGAUGUGUGACCCUGUUUAUCUUAUUAGAUGGGUGCUGAGAAGAUAUAAGGUGGGUAGUAGUGCAGUGGGCUACACCAGAGAAACGCAUUUUGAAUAAUGUGGGAAAAUGAGCCUGUUCGAGCCAAGAUAUCACUAACAGGAACAGGAGAGAAUAUGUUAGCUGAAGUUUAUUGUCAAAAUUGCUAACAAAAAGCUUUCUUAGUAAAAACUGAAGGAGAAUAUAUCUGUCUCGUGUGUUUUCCCACAAGAAAGUUAGCAAACACGACCACUUAAUCUGCCAGAAUGGAGAGGCAUGGAAAAGGUCAGCUGAAUUCGGAGGCCUCAGUGCUGGAGAGGGUGGGCCAUAAGAAAGAAAUGCCAGUCCCUCCCUUCCUCGGCAGUGAACUGAGCAUCGAUUAGCUUCCCAUGACAUGCUAAUUUCCCUUUGCUGUCGGUGGCACUAAAUGAAAUCAAAGUUAUUUUUUAAAUUGAAUUUGACCAUCUUAAUGGUCAAACUGGCAGUGUGGCUAGAUCCAGAAACUAUAUGCUCAAUGACUCCCUGAGACGUGGGGGAUGAAACAGAACUCCUCAGCAUGAUUUACAGACAUCCUAGUGCACAGAGAUGAGAAAAGACACUUACGUGGUGUGACAAUCACUUUGAGGAGGACCCAAAAUGCAGCACCCUCGCCAAGCCUGUCUGUCCACAGUGGCUGACUCGACUACAAAGAGUCUGCCACUGCUUCAGAGACACGUGUCUCAGAUCCCAAGCUGGAAGCUACGGUGUCCCAGACAGGAGAGGAUUCAGACUCAUGAGUCACGAAAACCAUGGUGUUCCUUACUCCAUGCGGACCUUCCUCCCAAGGUUCUUCCUCAUGCAGGGCCCCCAGCUCCAGCCUUCACGUGGGCAUUGGGUAGCCCAUGGCGGCUGCCUCCCCCUCUGGGUGGGGGGUACUCUGCUGGGGCCCGUCAGCAGGAGAGAUUCCCUCAGGCACCGGAGCCAUCUGAGGAUCACUCAAGGAGCUAAGAAACUCCUCAGCAACACAACUGACAGGCUAAAGAGGCGGGCAGCAGCGUGUGUUGGGGUUCGUGCUGUGGGGGGGAAGGUGGCCAGGAAUCAAAGGAGAGAGAGUCAGAGGUGGAAGGAACAGACCUGGAGUUGUAGGGUCCAAAGAGAAAAGUGAGAAGGAGUAGAUAGACACCACCAGCUGAUGUCAAAAGGUGUCAUGCUCUGCUUUGUGGGAACACAUGAGUGAGUUCUAGGGGGAAGAAAUGUCCCCGGCUCUGUCAGUUGCCCUGACCUAUUUAGUGCUGUUCUGCCUCCUCAAACAAUCUCUCACGUGCAGCUGAGAAGGCCCACGCUACCCAUGAUCAUCUCCCUUUCUUAUUCCUGUAUCCCAGAGUAAUCUGACUGAAGGUUCUACACGUGGGGGCAGGAAUGGCAGCCACAAAAAGAUACUCAGAAGCGGCUUCUCUCUUUCUAAUUAGGCUGUCAAUCUGUUUAGCUAAUAAGUCGUAUGAAGUGUCUUAAUCUCUUCCAAGGAAAGGAGUCAUAUAAAUGCAAAAUAGCAGCAGCCAUAAGUCAAAUGGCUUGCUGGGUAUCUUUUCUUUGUGUGACUAGAAGGAAACUUUCCGCGCCGAGAGGAGACAGACUGGGGAAAAACACACAACAGCAUUUGUUUUUAUUAGGCUGAGUCUAUACAGCACAAAGUAAAACAGAUCUGGCAAUUAUUUAGGUAAUGUGACAGUCAAUUGAGGCAAUUUUGAGCACCAAGAAGGUUUCUCCAGGAAGUGCCUAAAUAUCUGGAUCAGCUACUGACAUUAAUCAAAUUAACUGGACAAUUGUGCUGUGUAGACGCAAACUAAUAAGUGUGCCUUGAAACCCUUCUGAAAGGCUUACAUUUUAUAAACUUAACACUAAAACUGGUCCAGUUUUUAUACCCAUCCUCUUUGUUUUGGCACAGCAAUUGACAUUUCCCAUUUUUCUUACAAAACAUGUCUUACAUUUAGAGCCAGGAAAGUAAGGGUGACCCUCUCCCUGGAGAGUCUUAUCAGGUUAACACACGGAAGCUCAUUUAGAAAUUCAUUAGGUGUCUGGGAUGUGAGAGCUGGUCAUUAUAGAUUAAGGGCUUUCUCUCAAGUAGUAAAGGACUUAUGGGGAAUAAUGGUGAGUCUUGUUCCAGGCCCAAAGAAAAGCCUUGUUCCAAGCUUGUUUGUCCCAGAGAUUGGCACGGCUUUUCUGCCUAGUACAAAAACACUCUCAACUCUGCUAAAUUUCCUUCCUUUUCUUCCUCUAUACAGCUCACCAGAGGUAUGCUAUACAUAUUCGACUCCUACUUGGUGACAGUAGGAAUUUUAAAAAGGUUUUUAAAAGCCAUCUUAUGGAAAAUACGGUCUUCCAUGUUUCUUGACCAAAAGAAUAAAUUAAAAAGAAAAGAUCCAAGUCACCAACAGUUUCUCUUCUGUCCUCCCCUAUUUUUUCUUUAUUUCUUUCUUUUACCAAACAAAAACUUGCCAUUUCCAUGCUUGAAAGACAGUUUUCUCCUUGAAUGACAGUUCUUAGAGAAUUCUAGAAACCACAGGGGUGGUUUCUACUCUAGUACACUAUUAGGAAAAUCAUUUUUAGUUUUCAUGAACCUCCCACAUUGGAUGUUUUUAUUUCUCCAAGUUAGCCAGACUUACAUUCUCUCAGUCUUAGCCUAGAAUUCCCAGAUCCAGUUCACCUUCAGGCUUGCCCCACUUUUUGCCUCUAGCUGAAACUGAAUGGGCUGGGGAAGACCCUAUUGGCUAGGUUUUCCACACAUCCUACUAAGUAUUACAAAAAGAAAAUAAAACUGAACAGUGAAAGUCCUCGGUUAGAAGUUGAGAAGGCAGAGAAAAUUAGACAAGACACGAAUGUAGUGGGCAGCUGUGCCUCAGCCGGGAACAUCCAGACCUACCUGGUUUGACUCGUAAAGUGGUCCCCUGCCCAAAGAUGAGUUUUCCUAUGUCGCUAGAGCCACACUCUAGUGCUGCACUUUACAAAAACUUUAGAAGGAUAGAAUUAUUCCCUCUUCCUUCCCCCUACCCCCAACAACCUGAUUUAGUCCUAAUAACUGAUAUUUACUGAAGACUUACUAUGUGCCAGCCACUAGGCAAGCCCUUUAUAGGUACUAACUCUUUUAAUCUCAUAACAAUACAGUGAAUUAGGUAGUAUUAUUGUCCCCAUUUUACAGAUGAGAACAAUGAGGCGUGAAGAGAUUAGGUAACCUGCCCAAGGUCACACAUCCAGUAAAUGGCAGAGUUCAGUAUGCCCUGCAGUUCAAUUCUAAAACUCAUGUUCUUAAGCAUUAUGCUAUUAGCCAUCUUUUCUAUUUUAGGUUUUCCUUUGAAGUGUGUAUGCCAGUAACAUUGACAAAACAGUUAGCUCACUGACCCUAAUAAAUGUACCCUGAGCCUGUUCUCCGGGAAGGCUCACAUUUCAUCAACUGAACAUUAGAACCGAUUCGGUAUUUACACGCUGUCUCUUCAUCUGGGCGCUGCAAUUGACAUUUCCCAUUUUUUUUCUUGCAACGCGUAUCCUACAUUUAGAGCUGCAAAGGUAAGGUGACCUUCUCCCUGGAGAGUCUUAUCAGGUUAACACACAGAAGCUCAUUUAGAAAUUCAUUAACACCUAUAUCAAAGAUGCCUUUCCCGAAGCUCCUUGGCUCCACUGUCAACUCCUCUACUUCUCCCCGAGCUUUGCCGAGCCUACAACUGCCCUGGGAGCUAGCCCCAGCCAAAGCCACAGCAAACGCUGCUGGGAACAGAGGCUGAUUGUGUGAAGCAUGAUUCCAAACAGGGUAGGUGGUCUCUAAGAUGCUCCUGAAGAUUCUGGGAGAGAAGAACUUCUCGGGGGAGGCCAGAAUUAGGGUGAAAUCAAAUCCUCUCCUGUUACUACUAGCAAAUCCUCUCUAAGCCUAUAAGCCAAAGAGGACUCAGAAAUGCAGUAAUUAUAUGGCAAGUCUGAGUCAUUCUGGAUUGUCCAUGGUGGGGAGGCUUUCUCCAGGGUGGCCACAGGGAUGGCCCAGAGUCCUGGGAGUUCCUGGCAGUGCCUGACUUAUGUUUGGCCAGGGGGAAACAGUAUUUACAAUGGCCCACGUGAGGUUGGCGCAGUGUGAACGGAGGGGGCUGUGCUACAAGAUGCAUAUUGUCACCUUCUCCAACUUUCAAUCCCUAAAGGCUCUUUCUUGGAAUGGGUCCUCCUGUGCUCUAUAUGAAAAUAAUCGAAUACUCUAACUGCCUUCCUACCAUGCAUUUCUGGAUCCCUCUACCAAGUUAUUUUGAUUGAAGGGUAAGCAGGGGCUCAGCUUGGGCGGACAGGAGAAAAACGUGACCCGCAACUGCACAAUUUAAACAUUAGGGCUUAAAAGGGAGACAGUUCUGAGAUAUUUCAAACUGCAGAGACAGGUUUGAGAGAGUUAAUUUGAAGACUCACUUGGAUUUACUGCCAGCCUUGUUCCCAAUCCCCAAAUCAGCUUACGGUUGUUGCCAAUAUUACACAGUCAUAGGAAGCUUUACAGAAACCGACCAGGCCAAUGUGUAUCAGGAAAUCCCUCUCAAUCCCCAAAUCCAGCCAGCGUGCUCCUCCAGCUGGGACCCUGGCCAAAGAGGCAGGGGAGGAGACUAUUUAUUAUUGUGGUCAAUUCAUAGCAUGGUCGGGAUGGAAAAGCUCUUCUCAGAUAAAAUAGUUCAUCCCUCCAUCUUUAGACCGAGCUGCCCCCUGACCGGCAAGGAGUGCUGCGAUCCUGGAGAAGCCACUGGGGAAGGAUCCUCCCACUCCAAUGCCCAGCCAUCCCUGCAUUCAUCACAGUCAGAACUGUCUAGUCCAAUGGUUAAGACAGAAAGGACAAGGAAUCUGUUAUUCUCUAGCCCAUUUUUCCCUAUGUUUGGCCAUCACACAUGUGCCUAUUUUCACAGGUACCUAUGGCAUGUGUAUACACUGUAUAACCAUUAGGAUUCACAAUUAGAAUUAACAGAAAAAAUAAAAUUGGGUGGAGAAAACAGCCCUCAUAUGAAGCUUACUGCUAUGGCUUCCUUUAGAAAUUAGAGCAUUCAUUACGGAUUCAGCAGAGAUACUUACUGGGUUUGACCAUUAACCUUGUUCCCCCUCCAAAUGUGAGCCUGUUGCCUGCAUUAUUAUUCACACAGUGAUCUUCAGCUCAGCAAAAACCUCCUAGAAACUGAACUAAGUUUUCCCUAAAGAUCUUCUGGAAGGAGCGAUACCAUGAGCACAGAGAAUAUUAAGUAAUUGUCAGAGUAAUAACCUGGCACAGAAUCCUAGUGCCAGCUUGGAUUUCAGGACUGUUUCCACAUUGGCUAAAUGAAGGAUAUUCUUUCUAAAUAUUCUAAAGAGGGAGUUUUCCUGCACAAGCCCAGAAUGCUGACUGCCAGAAUCCUAGCAUAUCCUCCGGUGUUUUAGCUAAUAAUUCACCAGGGUUUCUGAAGAUCAUACUCCUCAUUCAGAUAAAAUAGGAACAGCUCAUGUCCAUGGCACCAAGCCAAAGGAGUCAGAGAUUUUGUCAUCGACCGUGGGAGAGAGCAAGGCAGCUGCAGGAGGGGUAAGCAUGUUGGUCCACCCCUCAGGGUGCUGGAGCCAGACACCUCUGACCAAGGUCCAGCCUGUGGAACAUCAAAAGGAUAUUUCCACCUUUUCUCAUUCCAAAGAACUAGAGACAGGAGCAGGCACUGGCCAGCCCUGAAUUCACCAACUCCAACCGCAGACCUUUUCACUCCCUGCUUAGAUGGUCACCAGGACAAGGACACUUCUCCUCUUUGUCCUAGGGUAGACUUUUCAAUUCUUUCUGUCCCUUUCCCCAGGUCACAUAUCUUGAGGAUUACUUUGAACUCUUUCUCCUAUUAUUGAACUAUUUCUCCUAGGUAGCUUCUCCUAUUCUUUCUAGAUGAUCCUUUGAGAUCUCUCUUAAUUUUGAGGGUAACUUGAAGGAAAAUCUAAGAAGGAACUCCAUGGGCACCACUGCUCAGUGUACAGCAUGGUAUCCUCCUUUCCCUCAUUUUGGGCUGCCUAGAGGACCAGGGGCUUAACGAGCAACACUCAGGAACAGGCCAUUCCAGAGGGAAAACAAGAAACACACAGGUAAUAUGGCAGUCCAUAAAUUUCCUACUUGGAUUUAGUCAGUGUCCUUCCUUCUCCAGAGAAUAUCUUCCCGUGGGCGGAUCCCUCGCUCCCAUAUCCAUUACAAAAGCACCUCCUUUCUUCCUACUUUGUUGUUUGCCUGCUGGAUCUCUUACCCAAGCAUCUUUAAUUUUUAAAAAGGCAUAUAAUUUCUCAAACUCUCCCUGUGAAAUUAAGUCUGGUGUCACCUACGCAGGGUGUCCUGGCUAAGACACUGUGAAACUCAAUUUGUUUCAUGUGUACAAGUCUGUUUAUAGUGGUGGGGCCAUGGCGACUGAUUUAUGAACACGAAGUGUAGGUGUGAGCAUGUGUCAGCAUUCAGGGGAAGUAGGUGGCCCGUUUGCCUGGAGCAGAACAUUUGUGGAAGGGAAUAGCUGGGAAUAAAUUUAGAGAAUGGAAAUGGCCCAGGUUUUAGAGAAUCUUAAGUGGCAGGCUAACAAGUGGAUAUAAUGGCUUCUCAAAAUAUGAAUGCCCAGAAUAUGAA
This 6693-nucleotide long non-coding RNA is filed under the name Canis lupus familiaris (dog). RNAcentral's name for it is "lncRNA (ENSCAFG00000054711.1)". Lineage: Eukaryota; Metazoa; Chordata; Mammalia; Carnivora; Canidae. The record is from RNAcentral.